GACGAACGCUGGCGGCGUGCUUAACACAUGCAAGUCGAACGGAAAGGCCCUGCUUUUGUUGGGUGCUCGAGUGGCGAACGGGUGAGUAACACGUGAGUAACCUGCCCUUGACUUUGGGAUAACUUCAGGAAACUGGGGCUAAUACCGGAUAGGAGCUCCUGCUGCAUGGUGGGGGUUGGAAAGUUUCGGCGGUUGGGGAUGGACUCGCGGCUUAUCAGCUUGUUGGUGGGGUAGUGGCUUACCAAGGGUUUGACGGGUAGCCGGCCUGAGAGGGUGACCGGCCACAUUGGGACUGAGAUACGGCCCAGACUCCUACGGGAGGCAGCAGUGGGGAAUAUUGCACAAUGGGCGGAAGCCUGAUGCAGCAACGCCGCGUGCGGGAUGACGGCCUUCGGGUUGUAAACCGCUUUCGACGGUGACGAAGAGUGAGUGACGGUAAUGGGUAAAGAAGCACCGGCUAACUACGUG
This 468-nucleotide ribosomal RNA is filed under the name uncultured bacterium. RNAcentral describes it as "partial 16S ribosomal RNA". It matches the Rfam family "Bacterial small subunit ribosomal RNA", at positions 28 to 507 of the family's 1533-position model. The record is from RNAcentral.